Molecule: non-coding RNA, 5430 nt
Organism: Rattus norvegicus (Norway rat)
Lineage: Eukaryota; Metazoa; Chordata; Mammalia; Rodentia; Muridae
Source: RefSeq, a predicted model, not a curated record
UUAGUGUCUCUCCAUCCCCACAGCGGACAGGGACCUGAGGAGAGGGGUUUAGGAGCGUGGCGUGGGUGGGAUGAACUAAGAAGAGACAGGAUCCCAAGGAAAAACACUAAAAGACAUUUUCUAAGCCCAGUGGGUAGACUCGGGGAUGCCCUCAACCUGUUCAGUAAGCCAUAAGCACUGGAUAAGAAGCAAGCUUUUUUUUUUUUUAACUUUCAAUCAAAACCUGCCUUGAUACUGAGCAUGCCCAGGCCUCCACAACACCCUAGGAGUUGCGAUCAGUGUGAGUUCUAGAUUGAAAAGGUGGGAGCUGGGACAGGAAAGAGGCAGAAGUUUGUCUCUGGCCAUUUGACACGGCGGAGUUGGGGAAGCAGGAGCGACUGAGAUAGAGGUGGUCCUUCUUGCUUUGGGAGACCAGUCACAUCAUUCCGUCUGAACUCGAGUGGGAAGCCAGGCUCCGAUAAUGUCAGGACAGCUACAUGCCUGGAGACCGCCCAGGAAGGGUGUGGUGGACCGGAGCUGAACGCAAGGUUCAUCCCAUAGGUGGGGCCCAGGAGCGAGGCUCCACCCAGCUGCAGCUGCUAGGCAGUGGAGCGCCCAGGGAGUUUCCAUGCAGCGACCAAUAAGUUUGGAGACUUGGGUCAAGUGCGACCUUGUUAGAUACGCUUUUCCCACCUUCUUGGGCUUGUGCUCGCCCCCGCCCCCAUCUCUCUCCAGCCUUUGCCAGCACGCUGGGGACUAAAGGGCUUUCUCCCUCCUCCUCUUCCUAGCUGAACCCUUCUGCUCGCAAGUAAGAAGCUUUUCCCCUGUGAGAGCGGCGGUGACCUGAUUGUCUCUAAGCUCCUGGGCAAUUUAUAGCUUGGAUGAUCGUGGCAUCUCAGGUACGGGAAAUAAAUAGCGAUCUCAAUUCCCCAAACUCAUCCACUUUGAACUGGAGUUUUAUUAACACUGGUGUGCAAAGGUAACUGUAGCGAGAAUUCAAUUAACGGUAACACAUUUCUUCAGGUUUGUAAUUAAAUCUCUUCUAUUUAUAUAAUGUUUAAGGUAAGAACCUUUUCUGAAUAUAUGGCAAAAGAGGAUCACCUUCAUAUAAAUGGAUCCUUCUAAGACACGAACCCUUGUGUUUUGGACUGUUUACAUUAUCAAGAAUUUAGAAUGAGAGGUAAACUAAGAAAAUACUAUAUCUUCAACGUGUAACUUUAUGUUAACACCCACCUUCUGUUUUCCAAAAUAGCCCCUGAAAAUAGUUUCUUAGGUAAAAAAGGAGAUAACAAACUUUGUAAGUUGAUUUGAAAUGUUUGGCCAAGGAGAGGAGGGAUCUGAAGAGGAGGAGGAAUGGAUGGGGUCAGUGUAAGAAGAGGUAGAAAAAUUGAGUAUCUGUUUGUAUUUUCCAAUGAAGAUAUGUGCAUGAGAGGAACAUUAUCAUAUCCACCUAAUGGAAAUUUUUAUUUUAAAAUAUACGUGAUCCUCUUUUUAGGUUAUUUUUUGUUGUUGUUAAAAACUACAUGCUUUCCCUAGUUACCAACAGUAAUAUGUAGAGAAAAGAAAGAAGAGCAUAUAAAUGAACGGAAUAAGAAUAUAGAAUUUUUGAUUUUCUGUUCUAGACCCUAGGUCUAUCAUCAUUUUAGUCAAUUUCUUUUUCUGUCUACCUCAAAUCUACCCACAGUGUCCUUUGGUGGAAACCAUUCUAGGGGGCAUGGAUAUGUCAGAACCUCCCAAUCCCACCCCAAGGGCUUCUUGAAGGGGACGUCUGCCUAUAAUAAGAAAUGAGCUUUGGGCAUAUUUCACUGUACUGUUUUAGAAUUAAUAGCAUUUUACUUAUCAAUAUUAAGAAGAUUAUUUAUAUACUAACUAGAUACAAAUUAGGUUGUUACUUUUGGUUUUUUUUUGGAUUUUUUUGAGGACCAAAAUUUUUGAUUCUCUUUUAUAUUUGCAUAGUUGUCAACUCUGAGAAUUCAUUGAAGACCUUUCCUGGUCCUAUUUGGUUGGUACAACAUCAACAUCAUGUUUUCAUAAGUGUAUAAGUGUGUGUGUGUGUGUGUGUGUCUGUCUGUCUGUCUGUCUGUCUUUCUGUCUCUGUGUGUAUGUAUGUGUGUGAGUGAGUGUCUAUCUCUCUCUCUGUGUAUGUAUGUGUGUCUGUCUCUGUGUGUGUGUGUGUCUCUCUCUCUCUCUCUCUCUCUCUCUCUCUGUGUGUGUGUGUGUGUGUGUGUGUGUGUGUGUGUGUGUGUGUAUGUUUUGUGUCUGUCUGUGAAAGAACAUAUGCAUAUACCAGGAAAACUUACAGUUUCUGUGAAUGCCCUCCACCUUCUUUGAGACAGAGUCUCUUUGACUUCUGUCUUAUUUGGACUUUCAUUGCUGUGAAGAAACAUCAUGGUCAAGGCAGCUCUCACAAAGGAAAAUAUUUAAUUGGGGCUGGGCUACAGUUUCAAAGGUUCAGUACAUUGUCAUCACAGUGGAAGCAUGGCAGCAUGCAGACAGACAUGGUGCCUGUGUAGCCAGAGAACUCUACAUCUUGAUCUGAAGUCAACCAGCAGGAGACUGACUUUUCACACUGGGCAGAGCUUGACUACUAGGAGCCCUCAAGCCUGCCUACACAGUAACACACGUCUUCUAACAGGGCCAUACCUUUUCCGACAAGGCCACACCUCCUCAUAGUGCCACUUGCCAUGGGCUAAGCAUUCUAACUCACCAAUUAAGUUCUACUGGCUGGCCAUUGAGCCUCACAGAGCUUCUGCCUCUCCUUUCCCAGCGCUAAGAUUACAAGUGCAUGCACUCUCACACUUGGCUUUUCCAUGGGAGCUGAGGCUUGAACUCAGCUCCUUACACUGGCUAAGUACUUCACUGAGCAUCUUCUUAGUUCCGAGACAUAUUUCUAUCGCAGAAAGUGUAUGGAUCCUCAUCUUACCGCAUCACACCAUUGUUUGUUAAAAAGAAAGUUCAAUUCAAAAACAGAGUUGGCUCAUUCUUACCACAUUCAUCAGUCUGCUGACAGGGGCUUUUCUAUUCAGGAUUCCUAUGUCUUUUACCAUCAACACAACUCCUUUCCUGAGUAUAUGAUCUUGAUACUUUCCUUAAUUACUUGCUUUUUCAGAACUGAGACCUACUUUGAAUGUUUUGCUUCUGUGCAUAAACAAAAUCCUACUUUCAUUAAUUAAAAAAUGCUUUACACAACCCGUAUCUGUGUCAAAGUUUCCUCUUCCUUUAUCAUUGAACUUUUCCGUUUCCUGUUUUAAUGAUUUUUUUUGCCAUAUAUUUUAGCUUACAAGAUCAGAAUAGAAACCGAACUGGAUUGAUGCACAGGGUAGAGAGGUGUGUCUUAUGGGAAGAGAGGGAAUUAGGGAAUUUAGGAACUAGAAAUUCAUUAGGCACGAACCCAGUCAAGGAUUUCUGUGGACCACAGGAAAUACUUACAUGAGAGAAAUAUAAAUAAAGUUACCAUUUUGGUGGAAUAUGCAUAUAUUCGGUGGGUAGGACAUACAUUUCUAGUUCAACAGGACUCUCAUAUAGCUUUAGACAUUACAUGCUUAAUUGUUAAGACAGUAACUUGGUAAAAAUAGCAUUACUCAGAGCUGUGAAAUAAUUAAAAGUAACAAACUCUUCCAGUAUAUAUUUCCUUUUCCUUCCUUUUUGGCCUUUGCUUCUUAAGAUACAGCUCCCACUUUCCUUUGGUUUUUCUUUUUAAGACAGGGAAUUGACUAGGCAUUUGUUUUCUGGCCUAUUUCUGAAUUUAGUAGAAUCCCAGCCUUACAACUAAUUGGCUGUGUGACCUUGAAAGAUGUGCAAAACAAACCUCUCCAAGUCUUGGGUUGCUUAUUUCUCAUGUGUACAUAAUGUGUGUACAUAACACAUACUUUUAGGGAUUUUUGCAAAGAUUAAGAAAAACAGUUCCCAGAAGGUACUAAUUCUCACCCUCUCACAAGGUAAGAAGGGCUACUAACAAUUAUAAUUAUCUUACUAUUAUAUUGCUCUUAUUGUUGCUUCUAUGUUCUUUUCUUGCCCCCACCCCAGGUUUCUGAGAGAGCAGAUUUUUUCUGCUAUUGUUUCCUCUACUUAAGUCAAUAUUGUGGAAGACUCUUUACCUAAAUUUGAAAAAGUAUAAGAACUUUCUAUUUGGGGACUGAAGAGAUGGAUUGCACUGCUGAAGACUGAAAGCUGGAGCGGAUCCAGGUCCUGGUCCAAACACCAAAGUCAGGCAGCUCACGACUGCCUAUCACUUUAGUUUCAGGGGAUUUGACACCCUCUUUUGGCUUCCAUGUGCAUGGCACGCAUACAGCUUAGCAGGCGCACACAUACAUAUAAAUAAUAAAGAUGGAAAUAAUGAACAAACCAAAGAAAGAAAAGAGAAGAGAAGAGAAAAGAAGAAAAGAAAAGAAAUCUUGGGUAUAAUGACAUAUAAACAGCCUCCUAUGCCACCUUUGUUGUUCAUUGGUUGUUCUCCUCCAGGAGAUAAAUUUUAACUGGAUUUAUGGAGAGAUAAGCUUUAUCUUUGUUUUCUCUUAGUUUUAAAUUUGUUGUUGAAAUUUAGUUUGAAACAUCCUAUUAUAAUGGCAAGAUAAUUGUCAAACACUAUUUUCCCUGGGAAAUGCUUUUAAAGACUACCAUAGCAAUCCAUUUUGAUUUUUUUGUCUUGUCUCUGUCUCUGUCUCUGUCUCUGUCUCUGUCUCUGUCUCUGUCUCUGUCUCUGUCUCUGUCUCUGUCUCCCUUUCCCUUUCCCUCCUCCUCUCCACCCUCUCUCAAUCAUUUGACCUGGCAUGAACUUUUUCUUUUUUCCUUUUAUCGCUAACUGAUUUAUUUUCCCACAUAAUGUAUCUUGAUUGUGGUUUCCUUUCCCUCUGCCCCUCCCAGCUCCCUCUUACCUUCCCUUCCAUGUGGAUCCACCCCCUUUCAGUGUCUCACUAGAAAACCAACAGGCUUUUAAGGGAUAAUAAUAAAAUAUAAUAAGAUAAAACAAAAAUCUAACACCUCAGAGUUGGAUGACACAAACGAACAGGAGGAAAAGAGUCCAAGAGAAGACACAAGAAUCUGAGACUCACUUAUGCACAUACUUGGGAACACAAUAAAAACACUAAAGUGGAAGCCAUAUUGUAUACAUCAAGAGGUCCUGGUCCAGACCCAUGCAUAGCCUGUACAUGCCACCUCAGUCUCUGUGAGGCUUCUAAGGGAAAAUAAUUAAAUAUAACACAGUAGCUUAAAACAAAAGCAAAUGGGUAUAAGACAAAACAAACAUAAGGGAAAGAUCCCAUGAAAAGGCACUAGAAACAAAUAUAAAGCAGAGAGAAGCUGGUCUAAAUACUCAGCCAUCCCAUAGGAACACGAAACUGGAAGUCAAAAUAUAUAGGCAAAAGACCUGUAGCAUACAAAGAGAGGAAAUAGAUAUAAAUUAAAUUUUAAAGGAAGGAAGGAAGGAAGGAAAGAAAGAAAGAAAGAAAGAAA